AUACGUAGGGGGCGAGCGUUAUCCGGAUUUAUUGGGCGUAAAGCGUGUGUAGGCGGACAUUUAAGUCAGGGGUGAAAUCCCGGGGCUCAACCUCGGAACUGCCUUUGAUACUGGGUGUCUAGAGUGUGGAAGAGGUAAGUGGAAUUCCUAGUGUAGCGGUGAAAUGCGUAGAUAUUAGGAGGAACACCAGUGGCGAAGGCGGCUUACUGGACUGUAACUGACGUUGAGGCUCGAAAGCGUGGGGAGC
This 247-nucleotide ribosomal RNA is filed under the name uncultured bacterium. RNAcentral describes it as "partial 16S ribosomal RNA". It matches the Rfam family "Bacterial small subunit ribosomal RNA", at positions 523 to 769 of the family's 1533-position model. The record is from RNAcentral.